CUGGGACAACCCAUGUGUUCCUCCAGCCGUAAGCCGUGGUUCUGCCAUCAGCGCGUGCAGGACUGGAAAAUGUCGGGCUGUUGCAGCGAGUGCUGUCAAACUGUGUGAGCAUCUUCCAAGGGAAGGAGUAGCAGCCCUGCAGGAGUUCGAAACCUCGAAGGCCCUAGCUAACGUAGCAUCGGGAAAGUCCUGAGGUUGAACAGGAUGACCUGAGAACUCUUCUGUGAAGAGGUAAUGAACGAUGGAAGAAAUCAAGUUAGCUGGAGAGAACUGCAUAUAUGGGCCACCCACAUGCCAUGGGAGAGAGGAGGUCCCGGGAGCACCUGCGUUCUCCAGCCAGCAAUAUUUCUCCAUCUGAGUUCUCACGCUCCUGACAGCUGGCUGGAAACAGAGAUUUGGCAGCAGGCUGUGGAAGGCAUCGCCUGGGCUGAGUGCGUGUUUCUUUAUCCCCAGCCUUUCAUCGCAGCCAGCGCGUUUCGGCAGGGCGAGGGCACGCUGAAGUGUGUGUUCUGCGAGCGCCACCGUCAAGGCAACAAAAAGGCUGAUUGAGCUAUUGGGAAGGUUAAUAGUCUGGGGCGCUGGCUGAGGUCCAGGUUUAGCUGCCGCUGAACUGAGCGGCCCAGGGCAGUGGAUUCCCGUCCAGGCUGUUUAAAUACCUGGCCUCGCUGGGAGGAAUUGUUUCUUUCGGCAGUUCCAGAGGAGCAUUUGGAAAUAGGAGUGUAAGGCUUCCAGACCAAACGAGGGUUAUUUUCCUUUCUGUGGCUGGCAAAUCACAUCCUGGGCUAACGCAGAUCAAAAUCCUAGCUCGAGGGUAAAUGCGACAGGCACAUUAUGUACCCAGUGAUAAAUGGUUUCUGGAUGGUCUCUGUUCUUCGUUUGUCCCUUCAGCCUUGCCUAGUGCCUCUGGUUUCGCCCCUGAUUUUGCCAUUUCAGGUUCCGUGACCUAUGACAGCACCUAUAGGAUUAAUGAUAUUUUCAGCCAGAGCCAAGUCUGCUCCUUGCUCUCCUGAAUCCAAUAAAUUGCUGUUAUCAAGUUUCA
Molecule: long non-coding RNA, 1039 nt
Filed under: Apteryx owenii (little spotted kiwi)
Lineage: Eukaryota; Metazoa; Chordata; Aves; Apterygiformes; Apterygidae
Description: lncRNA (ENSAOWG00000007569.1)
Source: RNAcentral